This 708-nucleotide ribosomal RNA is filed under the name uncultured bacterium. RNAcentral's name for it is "bacterial SSU rRNA". It matches the Rfam family "Bacterial small subunit ribosomal RNA", at positions 10 to 714 of the family's 1533-position model. The record is from RNAcentral.
AAGUUGAUCAUGGCUCAGAUUGAACGCUGGCGGCAUGCCUUACACAUGCAAGUCGAACGGCAGCACGGGAGCAAUCCUGGUGGCGAGUGGCGAACGGGUGAGUAAUACAUCGGAACGUGCCCAGUAGUGGGGGAUAACCCGGCGAAAGCCGGACUAAUACCGCAUACGACCUACGGGUGAAAGCGGGGGAUCGCAAGACCUCGCGCUAUUGGAGCGGCCGAUGUCAGAUUAGCUUGUUGGUGGGGUAAAAGCCUACCAAGCAACGAUCUGUAGCUGGUCUGAGAGGACGACCAGCCACACUGGGACUGAGACACGGCCCAGACUCCUACGGGAGGCAGCAGUGGGGAAUUUUGGACAAUGGGCGCAAGCCUGAUCCAGCCAUGCCGCGUGCGGGAAGAAGGCCUUCGGGUUGUAAACCGCUUUUGUCAGGGAAGAAACGCUUUGGGCUAAUACCCUGGAGUAAUGACGGUACCUGAAGAAUAAGCACCGGCUAACUACGUGCCAGCAGCCGCGGUAAUACGUAGGGUGCAAGCGUUAAUCGGAAUUACUGGGCGUAAAGCGUGCGCAGGCGGCUUUGCAAGACAGAUGUGAAAUCCCCGGGCUUAACCUGGGAACUGCAUUUGUGACUGCAUGGCUGGAGUGCGGCAGAGGGGAAUGGAAUUCCGCGUGUAGCAGUGAAAUGCGUAGAUAUGCGGAGGAACACCGAUG